RNAcentral lists this unclassified non-coding RNA (2330 nucleotides) under Eurytemora carolleeae. RNAcentral describes it as "glycine receptor subunit alpha-1". The record is from RNAcentral. Lineage: Eukaryota; Metazoa; Arthropoda; Copepoda; Calanoida; Temoridae.
UAAAUAUGACUUAAUUUUAAGAUAUUGAUUUUUUUUUAAAUACUGAAAUAUUUCUUAAAAGAAGUGAUUUAUUGAAUGCAUUUUGAUUCAAUAUAAAUAAGGAGGAUGCAUUUAAGAUUUGCAUAACCAUGAAAAUCUUCGGGAUGCUGGGUAUCAGUUCCCUAGGCUUACUACAACUUUUCCUGGGCAUUGUUAUCAAAAAAGAUUUUAGCGAAAAAAACACAAAAAAGUGUGUCAACGUUGUCAAUUAUAAAAUUGAUAAUAAAAAUGUGCGGCAAAAUCGCUAUUAUAUUCAUGUUUUAGCAGAGAGCUGUAGAUUAACUUAUCUUAAUUCUCACCCAUACUUGUUAGAAAAUUAAAUCAAAUAUUCUAAUCCAUAUAUCUUUAAGACCAUGCGGUGUAAACCUUUAAUAAUUUAAAGUUAGACUGCUUGAUCUUGCAGAAUUUAUAGUUUGAAAUAUCUAAGGUCUACCACAUUGGGAUAUUGUACAAUAACGAAAAAAAGAGAAAGUAUCAAUUUAUUUAUUUAGUUAGAAUAUUAAACAAAUAUAUAUAUAACCAGACCUCCCCCACUCCCCAGCCCUAGCUACAUCACAGUGAAAUCAUUUCAAUAAGUUGUAUAUUUCGGAAUCCAUUUGAGAAGCAGAAGCAAUCUGCAAUAAAAAGAGGAAUCUUGAACAGAAAUGUUUUCAACCUUGAACCGUAACAUGUUUACGACUAAACCUGGAUUAGAAAUUGCAAAAAUAAACUUUAACCUUAGCUAUUUAAAAGUUUGUGAGAAAGGAGAAAGAUUAUUGAACAAUUUUAUUUUAAACCUGAAAUAAAUUAAUGCUAAAAGAACUCCGACCCUAAAAAUUUGCGAAACAAAUAGUGAAAAUCCACGAAUUGAAAACAUUAAACUACAAAAAAUGGCACCGUUUCUGUUAUUGAUAAUUAAUUUAUCUUUGGCAGAAAGUGUACCAUUAGAAAGCCAGGGAGGAGAGAUAAACAAGUGGGAGGACAAAAGGUUGGAUGGUGUGCCGAAGCUCUUUAAAUCCUCUGGUUAUGACCGCAGUAGAAUGCCCCACGAUGCUGAUGGAUUGCUCAGGGUUGAAGCAGAACUGAACCUGAGGAAUAUUAUGAGGGUAGAUGAGAGGGAGAAGAUGAUUUCUUUGGAGGUUACAUUAAGGUUAUUUUGGGUUGAUAAAAGAGUUCAUCUAAAUCCAGCAAUUCCUCUUGAAAACUGUGAUACGGACGGAAGCUACGUAGUUCUGCAUCCUUCAACUGCAGAUAGUCUGUGGAUCCCGGACCUAUUUAUUGAUAUGGUAAAAGAGAUUAGAACUCCUACUAUACGCAUUCCAACAUCCUCAGUCAGACUGUAUAACAACUCUUUAAUCAGGUUUGCUAAAAGAUUUAAUUUUGAUGUUUCCUGCCAGAUGGAUUUUCAUAAGUAUCCUGUAGAUAAACAGACUUGUGUUAUACACUUCGAAUCAUUCUCACUUACUGAUAAAGAGUUGAAGUUAAGCUGGAGACCUACUGGUAAUAAUGUAAAUAAUAUAACUCUAGAUCAGUUCACCCAUAGUGUUAAUAUUAGGGAGAGCUACACAACAAAUUCAUAUCGGCAGAAGUUUGCUGGUCUUCAGUUUACAUUAUACCUCAGGAGGAAUAUAUAUUAUCAUCUAGUACAGACGUAUAUCCCGAGUUUACUGCUUGUACUACUCAGCUGGGGAUCAAUGUUUGUACAUAGUUCUGCUCCUGCUAGGGUUGGAAUAGGGAUGACAGCUCUUCUUUCCCUUAUUUCAAUGUUUGGGCAUACAAGGAGUAUGGUUCCCCACACAUGUUAUGUAUCCUACCUGGACGGAUGGAUGCUCUUCUGUAUAGUCCUUGUCUUCCUUUGCAUCAUGGAGUACAUCAUUAAUCUUUGUAUUCUAGCAACAUAUUAUACUAGGAUAGCAGAUAGAGUUAGCUGGUGGACUAGGUGUGUUGGUGCUCCAGUAAUCCUUGUAGUUUUCAACCUGGUGUACUGGCUUCUGCUUAUAGAACAUCAUUUAACAGAACAUCAUGUUGAACAAACCUUUCAAAGACACACUCCUGUUAACUGUACAGUAGAUUAGACUGUACAGUAAAUUAGACUGUACAGUAGGUUAGACUGUACAGUAAAUUAGACUGUACAGUAGGUUAGACUGUACAGUAGGUUAGACUGUACAGUAAAUUAGACUGUACAGUAGGUUAGACUGUACAGUAAAUGUUUUUAACAAAAGCCCACUUAUUAUGACAUAGUUAUAGAUUUGUAUGUUUUUGUUAUCGUUUACUGAUAAAUUCAAAUGUAAUAAAGUAAUAUUAUCAAUUCA